AGAGUUUGAUCCUGGCUCAGAAUCAACGCUGGCGGCGUGCCUAACACAUGCAAGUCGAACGAGAAAGGGGAGCAAUCCCUGAGUAAAGUGGCGCACGGGUGAGUAACACGUGACUAACCUACCCUGGAGUGGGGGAUAACUGAGGGAAACCUUAGCUAAUACCGCAUAAUACCCACGGGUCAAAGGAGCAAUUCGCUUCAGGAGGGGGUCGCGGCCGAUUAGUUAGUUGGCGGGGUAAUGGCCCACCAAGACGAUGAUCGGUAUCCGGCCUGAGAGGGCGCACGGACACACUGGAACUGAAACACGGUCCAGACUCCUACGGGAGGCAGCAGUGGGGAAUUUUGCGCAAUGGGGGAAACCCUGACGCAGCAACGCCGCGUGGAGGAUGAAGUACUUCGGUACGUAAACUCCUUUCGAUCGGGACGAUUAUGGCGGUACCGAGAGAAGAAGCCCCGGCUAACUUCGUGCCAGCAGCCGCGGUAAUACGAGGGGGGCGAGCGUUGUUCGGAAUUAUUGGGCGUAAAGGGUGCGUAGGCGGUUUGGUAAGUCUGAUGUGAAAUCUAUGGGCUCAACUCAUAGUCUGCAUCGGAAACUGCCGGGCUUGAGUGUGGGAGAGGUGAGUGGAAUUCCCGGUGUAGCGGUGAAAUGCGUAGAUAUCGUGAGGAACACCUGUGGCGAAAGCGGCUCACUGGACCACAACUGACGCUGAUGCACGAAAGCUAGGGGAGCAAACAGGAUUAGAUACCCUGGUAGUCCUAGCCCUAAACCAUGACUGCUUGGUGUGACGGGUACCCAAUCCCGCCGUGCCGUAGCCAACGCGUUAAGCAGUCCGCCUGGGGAGUACGUCGCAAGGCUGAACUCAAAGGAAUUGACGGGGCCCGCACAAGCGGUGGAGCAUGUGGUUUAAUUCGACGCAACGC
RNAcentral lists this ribosomal RNA (920 nucleotides) under uncultured bacterium. Its description in RNAcentral is "bacterial SSU rRNA". It matches the Rfam family "Bacterial small subunit ribosomal RNA", at positions 8 to 962 of the family's 1533-position model. The record is from RNAcentral.